RNAcentral lists this small RNA (1038 nucleotides) under Pan troglodytes (chimpanzee). RNAcentral describes it as "processed transcript". Lineage: Eukaryota; Metazoa; Chordata; Mammalia; Primates; Hominidae. The record is from RNAcentral.
GGAGUCUCACUGUGUCUCCCAGCCUGGAAAGCAAUGGCCGCGAUCUCAGCUCACUGCAAACCCCGCCUCCUGAGUUCAAGCGAUUCUCCUGCCUCAGUCUCCUGAGUAAGUGGGAUUCAGACGCCUGCCACCAUGCCAGGCUAACUUUUGUAUUUUUAGUAGAGACGGAGUUUCACCAUGUUGGCCAGGCUGGUCUUGAACUCCUGACCUCAGAGGAAAAAAAAUAAUGUAACUAGAGAAGAGAGUUGAGCAGAGAACCGAGCUCUUUGAAGUGCUGGUAGUUUGUCUCAACCCAUGAAGCAGCUUAACAAGCAACUAUAACUAAGCAUAGAGGUUGGUACUAAGAAGUGCCUUUCCUGACGUCUCUGCUGCUUGGAACCGCUUCUAGAGCAGUCUCUGCUUUUGCCUUGCUUGCUGCCAGCUAGACUGUGACGACAGCACAUCCACCCUCCACCUCUAGCCCAGACACCCCCAUUUCUACUUAUAAUCAAGAGAAAAGCUCUAAGUAUCUGGCAUUGCCCUAGGCUGCUUUAGUGUUAAAAGAAAAGUUUGCUGAAAAAGUAAGAUAUCUUCUGCCAGGAAAUCAAGGAGGAAAAAAAAAUCAUUUUCUCGAUUUUGCUCUAAACUGCUGCAUCUGUCUAUGCCAAACUAAUCAAUACCGAUUGCACCACCAAACUCCAUUGCAAAUUCAGCUGUGAGGAGAUUCCCUUUCAGACAACUUUGCUGAAAGCAGCUUGGAAAUUCGGUGUCGAAGGGUCUGCCACGUUUUCAUGCUUGCAUUUUGGGCUCCAAAUUGGCACUGGGAAGGGGUUACUGAGAGCACAAGGCUGAUACCAGGCCCUACUUUUAAACGUUCAUCUACUUACAAUCCUAGUAUUUCUCUAAAAACCAAAACCUCUUUGAAUUAACAGUUUCAUGCUGUGAAUUUCUAGUGGGAGAUCUUUUCCUUGAUAUUGACGACACAAUUUUCCAUGUACUUUUAAAGCAGGGAGUGGGGAAAAGUAUUUUGAGGGGACAUUUUCAUCAUCAGUUCAGCUU